AACCUCCGCAAUGUGAGAAAUCGCGACGGGGGGAUCCCAAGUGCCAUUCUUAACGGGAUGGCUUUUCAUUAGUGUAAAGAGUUUUUGGAAUAAGAGCUGGGCAAGACCGGUGCCAGCCGCCGCGGUAACACCGGCAGCUCUAGUGGUAACAAUUUUUAUUGGGCCUAAAGCGUCCGUAGCCGGUUUAAUAAGUCUCUGGUGAAAGCUUGUAGCUUAACUAUAAGAAUUGCUGGAGAUACUAUUGGACUUGAAGUCGGGAGAGGUUAGAGGUACUACCGGGGUAGGGGUGAAAUCCUAUAAUCCUGGGAGGACCACCUGUGGCGAAGGCGUCUAACUGGAACGAUCUUGACGGUGAGUAACGAAAGCCAGGGGCGCGAACCGGAUUAGAUACCCGGGUAGUCCUGGCCGUAAACGAUGUGGACUUGGUGUUGGAAUGGCUUUGAGUUGUUCCGGUGCCGAAGGGAGCUGUUAAGUCCACCGCCUGGGAAGUACGGUCGCAAGAUUGAAACUUAAAGGAAUU
Molecule: ribosomal RNA, 520 nt
Filed under: uncultured bacterium
Lineage: Bacteria
Description: bacterial SSU rRNA
Rfam family: Archaeal small subunit ribosomal RNA
Source: RNAcentral